RNAcentral lists this ribosomal RNA (505 nucleotides) under uncultured bacterium. RNAcentral describes it as "partial 16S ribosomal RNA". It matches the Rfam family "Bacterial small subunit ribosomal RNA", at positions 28 to 507 of the family's 1533-position model. The record is from RNAcentral.
GACGAACGCUGGCGGCGUGCCUAAUACAUGCAAGUAGAACGCACAGUUUAUACCGUAGCUUGCUACACCAUAGACUGUGAGUUGCGAACGGGUGAGUAACGCGUAGGUAACCUGCCUGGUAGCGGGGGAUAACUAUUGGAAACGAUAGCUAAUACCGCAUAAUAUUAAUUAUUGCAUGAUAAUUAAUUGAAAGGUGCAAUUGCACCACUACCAGAUGGACCUGCGUUGUAUUAGCUAGUAGGUGAGGUAACGGCUCACCUAGGCGACGAUACAUAGCCGACCUGAGAGGGUGAUCGGCCACACUGGGACUGAGACACGGCCCAGACUCCUACGGGAGGCAGCAGUAGGGAAUCUUCGGCAAUGGACGAAGGUCUGAACGAGCAACGCCGCGUGAGUGAAGAAGGUUUUCGGAUCGUAAAGCUCUGUUGUAAGAGAAGAACGGGUGUGAGAGUGGAAAGUUCACACUGUGACGGUAUCUUACCAGAAAGAGACGGCUAACUACGUG